UAAAAGAUAAGCUAAAUUAAGCUAUUAGGUUCAUACCCUAAGAAUGGAUGUAUCCUCUUUUUA
Molecule: transfer RNA, 63 nt
Filed under: Lagria rufipennis
Lineage: Eukaryota; Metazoa; Arthropoda; Insecta; Coleoptera; Tenebrionidae
Description: tRNA-Met
Source: RNAcentral